CCUACGGGCGGCAGCAGUGGGGAAUAUUGGACAAUGGGGGGAACCCUGAUCCAGCCAUGCCGCGUGUGUGAAGAAGGCCCUCGGGUUGUAAAGCACUUUCAGUGAGGAAGAACGCCUGGUGGUUAAUACCCAUCAGGAAAGACAUCACUCACAGAAGAAGCACCGGCUAACUCCGUGCCAGCAGCCGCGGUAAUACGGAGGGUGCGAGCGUUAAUCGGAAUUACUGGGCGUAAAGCGCGCGUAGGUGGCUUGAUAAGCCGGUUGUGAAAGCCCCGGGCUCAACCUGGGAACGGCAUCCGGAACUGUCAAGCUAGAGUGCAGGAGAGGAAGGUAGAAUUCCCGGUGUAGCGGUGAAAUGCGUAGAGAUCGGGAGGAAUACCAGUGGCGAAGGCGGCCUUCUGGACUGACACUGACACUGAGGUGCGAAAGCGUGCGUAGCAAACAGGAUUAGAUACCCCGGUAGUC
This 465-nucleotide ribosomal RNA is filed under the name Vreelandella stevensii. RNAcentral's name for it is "partial 16S ribosomal RNA". It matches the Rfam family "Bacterial small subunit ribosomal RNA", at positions 338 to 795 of the family's 1533-position model. Lineage: Bacteria; Pseudomonadati; Pseudomonadota; Gammaproteobacteria; Oceanospirillales; Halomonadaceae. The record is from RNAcentral.